GUCUGGGAAGGCGGGUAACACCUGGAGUCCGCAUGCCGAAUUUCGGGAUUUGCUAAAUGCAAGAAAUUAUCAUCUUGUAUCAUUUUUAAAAGUGCAUACUCCUCCCUAACUUAGCUUUGGGCUAAUUAAAAACUCAGAUGUGAUUGUGAUGUAUCACAUAAAUCUGACAUCCAUGCAUGUGGGUAGUCUUUCUGGCGUUCUCAAGCUCUUCUCUCAUGUAACGUUGUACAGAUGCUACAUCAAGCACCAAGUAAUGUCACCCUCAACUUCGCAACAACUUUGUCGAGUGUUUCAGCAUACCUCACACAGCUGUUCCAGUCUCAUCUGUCCUCGAUCGUGGCUUAUCUCUUUACAUAUUAGCGCCUCCCACCAGAGAUCCUAUCGGGGAGAUGAGGAGAACAACAGAGGAGUGAGGAUGGACGAAUGUUUGAAGAAAUGAGAAAAUAUAUGAUCAACACUGUUACUCUUUAUAACACCAAUCAUGAGUGGUAAAAUAGUAGAGUGAAAUGUAGUUACAUACCAAAGUAAACUAUGAAUUAUAUAUACUGUUUAAUACCAGUUUUGAUAACUGCACAACAAAAACAAAACUUGCCCUGCACACAAAAUAGUUGCAUGUCACAUUUUUUUUCUUUAAACCAAGAACUGGCUAGCAUUUGCUCCACUUUUUUCUGCUGUGAAAAUAUGUUAACGUAGUUUUGAAAAAAAAGUCACAAGACUUGAGUAACAAAAAAUGCAAAAUUAGCUAAUGAUAACUAAAAAAAUAUAUCCAACUUUUAUGUUUUUUCAAGUUAGAUGAAGGAUUUUUUUGAACAUCUGAAGCUUGUGGUUUUUAGGCUGGCACAAGACAACACAUUUGCGACAAAUCAUUCUUGUAGCCUACAAACAAUCCUCUUGAAGAAGGCAGAGGGCUGGCAAUUAUCUUGCACCUCCAAAUCUGUUGCCAUCGUUAUUGCACCGUGGUUCACUUUCCUCUAUGUCGCCGCUGUGCUGUUCCUGUUAUGAGACCCCCAGAUCUUAAUCAAUGAA
Phyllopteryx taeniolatus (common seadragon) is the source of this 1026-nucleotide long non-coding RNA. RefSeq lists it as uncharacterized. The transcript has 3 exons. Lineage: Eukaryota; Metazoa; Chordata; Actinopteri; Syngnathiformes; Syngnathidae. The record is from RefSeq and is a predicted model, not a curated record.